AGGGCACCACCAGAAGUGGAGCCUGCGGCUUAAUUUGACUCAACACGGGAAAACUUACCCGGCCCGGACACUGGAAGGAUUGACAGAUUGAGAGCUCUUUCUUGAUUCAGUGGGUGGUGGUGCAUGGCCGUUAUUAGUUGGUGGAGCGAUUUGUCUGGUUAAUUCCGAUAACGAACGAGACUAGCCUAUUAAAUAGAUUACCGUUCCUUUGUGACGGUAAGACUUCUUAAAGGGACAGGCGGCGACUCAGCCGCACGAAACAGAGCAAUAACAGGUCUGUGAUGCCCUUAGAUGUCCGGGGCCGCACGCGCGCUACACUGAAGUGAUCAGCGUGCAUUAAUAACCCUCUCUGACAAGAGUUGGCAACCCAUUGAACCUUCUUCGUGAUUGGGAUAGGGUAUUGUAAUUCUUACCCUUGAACGAGGAAUUCCCAGUAAGCGCGAGUCAUAAGCUUGCGUUGAUUACGUCCCUGCCCUUUGUACACACCGCCCGUCGCUACUACCGAUUGAAUGAUUUAGU
RNAcentral lists this ribosomal RNA (519 nucleotides) under uncultured eukaryote. RNAcentral describes it as "SSU rRNA". It matches the Rfam family "Eukaryotic small subunit ribosomal RNA", at positions 1161 to 1702 of the family's 1831-position model. The record is from RNAcentral.